Poecilia latipinna (sailfin molly) is the source of this 701-nucleotide long non-coding RNA. RefSeq lists it as uncharacterized. The transcript is spliced from 3 exons. NCBI's taxonomy places the organism in Eukaryota, Metazoa, Chordata, Actinopteri, Cyprinodontiformes, Poeciliidae. The record is from RefSeq and is a predicted model, not a curated record.
CUACAAAUAGAUAAGACAAAAACCUUAUUUUUUCUCUUUUUUUUGGAAAACUUAUUUAGCUACUGCAGUUUUAAUGGAAACAAUUGUGAAAUUGAGUGUGUUUUUUUUUUUUUUCUUCACGUUUGGGGAACAUCGACAAAGUUUUGCGCUCGCAUUUGUAACAGAAGCGCAGCUCCUGGUUCCGAUCGGCUUCCCUUCAGGCAGAGCGUCCUGACGCCCGCCGCUCCUCCAGCCACGCGCCAUGAAAUGAUUCCAUCUCUUCUUCUCCUCACAAAACCCAUUCCCAGAUUCAAGAACCCGUUUGUUAAAGACGUAUGGAUUAAAAGGUCCGUCUUCCUACACUGAGCCUUUUCAAAUCAGCUGUUUCUCCAGACAACAUCGUUCAUGUGGGUCAGACCGUCAACAGAACCAAGACAUCAGGUGCUAUAUGAAUAAAGAUGGAAGGGUCUUCCAUCACAUCCAGAUUACCCUCAAGUAAAAUCACUGGUCUGGGAAAUUAAGAAGAUCACAUACAAUCAACCAUGAAAAGCAUGUGCAAUACAUUUCAUGGCAAUCUGUCCAACCUCAGCCACUUCUGAUUGACGAAAUGGAAUCUGUUGUUCUCUGGUUGCAGCGAAGGCAGCAGGUUUGGUCAGAGCGCUUGUUGGCAUGAUGCCGCUUAUUGUGAAGCAAAAAGAAAAAUAAAUGUAUUUUCUAAAAGU